GAGCCAAAAUCCCAUGUGGAAUGGCUGAGGGAGCUGGGGGGGUUCAUCCUGGAGAAAAGGAGGCUCAGGGGGGACCUUCUCACUCUCCAAAACUCCCUAACAGGAGGUUGUGGUGAGGUGGGAGU
This is a long non-coding RNA of Lepidothrix coronata (blue-crowned manakin), 125 nucleotides long. RefSeq lists it as uncharacterized. The transcript is spliced from 3 exons. NCBI's taxonomy places the organism in Eukaryota, Metazoa, Chordata, Aves, Passeriformes, Pipridae. The record is from RefSeq and is a predicted model, not a curated record.